This 253-nucleotide ribosomal RNA is filed under the name uncultured bacterium. RNAcentral describes it as "partial 16S ribosomal RNA". It matches the Rfam family "Bacterial small subunit ribosomal RNA", at positions 524 to 776 of the family's 1533-position model. The record is from RNAcentral.
GACGAACCGUGCGAACGUUGUUCGGAAUCACUGGGCUUAAAGGGCGCGUAGGCGGCCUGCCAAGUCAGGGGUGAAAGCCCCCGGCUCAACUGGGGAGGGUCACGCGAUACUGAUCGACUCGAAGGCAGGAGAGGGUAGUGGAAUUCCCGGUGUAGUGGUGAAAUGCGUAGAUAUCGGGAGGAACACCGGUGGCGAAGGCGCCGCUCUGGGCCGAAACUGACGCUGAGGAGCGAAAGCGUGGGUAGCAAACAGG